ACUCCCACCCAUGUGAUUAUACCUUUCAUUGUUGCUUCGGCGGGACCUCGCGCCCGCCGGGGACCCAAACCUUCUGAAUUUUUUAAUAAGUAUAUUCUGAGUGGUUAAAAAAAAAAUGAAUCAAAACUUUCAACAACGGAUCUCUUGGUUCUGGCAUCGAUGAAGAACGCAGCGAAAUGCGAUAAGUAAUGUGAAUUGCAGAAUUCAGUGAAUCAUCGAAUCUUUGAACGCACAUUGCGCCCGUCAGUAUUCUGGCGGGCAUGCCUGUUCGAGCGUCAUUACGCCCCUCAAGUCCCCUGGGGACUUGGUGUUGGGGAUCGGCGAGGCUGGUUUUCCAGCACAGCCGUCCCUUAAAUUGAUUGGCGGUCUCGCCGCGGCCCUCCUCUGCGCAGUAGUAAAACACUCGCAACAGGAGCCCGGCGCGGUCCACUGCCGUAAAACCCCCCCCCCAACUUUUUUAGUUGACCUCGAAUCAGGAGGACUACCCGCUAACUUAAGCUAUCAAUAAGCGGAGGAAA
Molecule: ribosomal RNA, 518 nt
Filed under: Metarhizium anisopliae
Lineage: Eukaryota; Fungi; Ascomycota; Sordariomycetes; Hypocreales; Clavicipitaceae
Description: eukaryotic LSU rRNA
Rfam family: 5.8S ribosomal RNA (bases 125-278)
Source: RNAcentral